GCACUUUCCAACUGUAAUCUACAUUAUUGGACAUGCAUCCUUGAUGUGUUAUUCAUGUGUGAAUUCACCCUGGGAUGUAUGAGCAGGUAAUAUGAGUUCUCUGUGUUGCCAUUUUGUGCCACCACAAUCUGAUCGAGGCAUCGUGCAGCCACCUGUGAUGUCUGCAUGAAAGCUGAUAAUCCAACUUGUCACAUGACACAAUGUGUUGAAUCAUCUGAGACAAAGCCUGGAAGCAAUGAGGAAUAACAUAACAGCAUUUAUGUAAAAAAGAAUGCCCAGUGAGGGCUGGGCGGUCUUACUUGCC
Molecule: long non-coding RNA, 304 nt
Organism: Polypterus senegalus (gray bichir)
Lineage: Eukaryota; Metazoa; Chordata; Cladistia; Polypteriformes; Polypteridae
Exons: 3
Source: RefSeq, a predicted model, not a curated record